Actinobacillus minor NM305 is the source of this 303-nucleotide non-coding RNA. The record is from Rfam. Lineage: Bacteria; Pseudomonadati; Pseudomonadota; Gammaproteobacteria; Pasteurellales; Pasteurellaceae.
GUGCUGUGCUUGUUGUGGGCAAAUCCAGUGGAUAUGCGUAUCAAUACCGCCGGCGGUUGCAAUUAAAUGUGCACCGUUAUGCACCUCCGUGCUUGCGCCGAUAAUCAUAUUCGGGGUGACAUUGUCCAUUGUGUCAGGGUUACCCGCUUGACCAAUGCCGACAAUACGACCAUCACGAAUACCAAUAUCCGCUUUAAUAAUGCCGAGUUUAGCGUCAAUAAUCAUCACGUUGGUUAAAGCAAAAUCUAACACGUUUGGAUUAUCACGGGUUGCCGUGCCUGAUUGCGCCAUACCAUCACGCAC